Molecule: ribosomal RNA, 449 nt
Filed under: uncultured bacterium
Lineage: Bacteria
Description: partial 16S ribosomal RNA
Rfam family: Bacterial small subunit ribosomal RNA
Source: RNAcentral
AAUGAACGCUGGCGGCAGGCCUAACACAUGCAAGUCGAACGGGUCCUUCGGGACUAGUGGCGGACGGGUGAGUAACGCGUGGGAACGUGCCCCUUGGUACGGAAUAGCCCCGGGAAACUGGGAGUAAUACCGUAUGUGGUCGAGAGACGAAAGAUUUAUCGCCAAGGGAUCGGCCCGCGUUGGAUUAGGUAGUUGGUGGGGUAAUGGCCUACCAAGCCGACGAUCCAUAGCUGGUUUGAGAGGAUGAUCAGCCACACUGGGACUGAGACACGGCCCAGACUCCUACGGGAGGCAGCAGUGGGGAGUCUUAGACAAUGGGGGAAACCCUGAUCUAGCCAUGCCGCGUGAUCGAUGAAGGCCUUAGGGUUGUAAAGAUCUUUCAGGUGGGAAGAUAAUGACUGUACCACCAGAAGAAGCCCCGGCUAACUCCGUGCCAGCAGCCGCGGUAA